CUUGCACCUAAACCCAAGAAUCACUGUUUUUGUAGCACUGGUUUAAACAGAGGUGCAAACAGCAGGUGGAUCUCAUCGCCUUUGGGGAGCUGUGGCUGUGCGCCUCAAAGUGAAUUUGGAGGUCCUUCAUUC
RNAcentral lists this small nucleolar RNA (132 nucleotides) under Propithecus coquereli (Coquerel's sifaka). Its description in RNAcentral is "Small nucleolar RNA SNORA68 (ENSPCOG00000025225.1)". It matches the Rfam family "Small nucleolar RNA SNORA68". From Rfam's summary of the family: U68 is a member of the H/ACA class of small nucleolar RNAs (snoRNAs) which act as guides in the the modification of uridines to pseudouridines. Lineage: Eukaryota; Metazoa; Chordata; Mammalia; Primates; Indriidae. The record is from Rfam by way of RNAcentral.